AGUGAACGCUGGCGGUAGGCCUAACACAUGCAAGUCGAACGGCAGCACAGUAAGAGCUUGCUCUUACGGGUGGCGAGUGGCGGGCGGGUGAGGAAUACAUCGGAAUCUACUUUUUCGUGGGGGAUAACGUAGGGAAACUUACGCUAAUACCGCAUACGACCUACGGGUGAAAGCAUGGGAUCUUAGGACCUUGCGCGAUUGAAUGAGCCGAUGUCGGAUUAGCUAGUUGGCGGCGUAAAGGCCCACCAAGGCGACGAUCCGUAGCUGGUCUGAGAGGAUGAUCAGCCACACUGGAACUGAGACACGGUCCAGACUCCUACGGGAGGCAGCAGUGGGGAAUAUUGGACAAUGGGCGCAAGCCUGAUCCAGCCAUACCGCGUGGGUGAAGAAGGCCUUCGGGUUGUAAAGCCCUUUUGUUGGGAAAGAAAAGCAGCAGGUUAAUACCCCGCUGUUCUGACGGUACCCAAAGAAUAAGCACCGGCUAACUUCGUG
This 492-nucleotide ribosomal RNA is filed under the name uncultured bacterium. RNAcentral describes it as "partial 16S ribosomal RNA". It matches the Rfam family "Bacterial small subunit ribosomal RNA", at positions 29 to 507 of the family's 1533-position model. The record is from RNAcentral.